Phrynosoma platyrhinos (Desert horned lizard) is the source of this 70-nucleotide non-coding RNA. The record is from the annotation of a GenBank genome assembly. NCBI's taxonomy places the organism in Eukaryota, Metazoa, Chordata, Lepidosauria, Squamata, Phrynosomatidae.
GACUUGGGGUGCAUUGGUGGAAUUCUCGCCUGCCACGCGGGAGGUCCGGGUUCGAUUCCCGGCCAAUGCA